GCAGACCAGCUAUUGAUGUUACCAGAGAACAUAUUGAAUUUCUGCUGAAGCAAGGUCAUACAAUUAAAAUAAAUCGCUAAAAUACUGGGAUGCUCUUCAUCAUUUCUGUACAAGAGGCCAAAGUUGAUGGGUAUACCUGUGAGAAGUAGGCUGUCUGCAAUAGAUGAUGGCGAACUGGAACAGCAUGUGAGGCGACUUCAGGAUGAUGAGAGCCCUGUUGCAUGCACAGGGUGUGAUUGUUACACGGACCAGGGUGCGUGAGAUGUUAACGAGGAUAAAUCCUACUGCUGCUGCAAGGAGAUGGAGCCAGACAGUUGCAAGACGGGUUUAUCAUGCACCGUACCCCAACAGUUUGUGGCACAUUGAUGGGAACAUGCGCCUUAUAAGAUGGGGCUUUGUGAUUCAUGGUGCCAUUGAUGGACACUCCCGUCUGAUUACUUACCUCAACUGCAGCACAGUGCCAUAACAGUGCUUUCUCAGUUUUUGAAAGCAACGUGCCUCUAUGGGCUACCCUCGAGAGUCAGAUCUGACCAUGGUGGUGAAAACCUGCUUGUGGCUUUAAUCAUGCAUCUAGUUCAAGGAAUUGAACACAGAAGUUCCAUAACAGGAGAGUCAGUUCACAAUCAGAGAAUUGAAUGUCUUUGGCGUGACGUAUUUUUGCAUGUGUUGCAGCACUUUUACCUUACGUUCUACUCUGUAGAGGAUUCAGAGGUUCUAAACCCAGAUAAUGAUGUCCAUAUACUUUCACUGCAUAUUGUUUAUCUUCCUGAGAUUCAAAACAGGCUGGAGCAUUUUGGACAGGCCUGGAACCACCAUGCGUUGCGAACAGAAAAUAAUCACACACCGACUCAACUCUGGACAGAGGGCAUGCUCACAAACAUUGCAACAGACAACACAGCUGUCAACAAUGUGUUUGGGGAAAAUCCCUACAGCGAACAAAACAUUGAUGCCAUCUUAGCUCGGCAUGGAAUUCAAACACUGCUGACACUUGAUGACAGACUUCCCGGCUGUAACUGUAGAGCCACCUCAACUCAUCCUCACUCAGCAACAACAGGCAUCUGUGCACAAUGUAGUCCAACACAUUUCUGAUCUAAAGAUAAAAUAUCAGGCUUGCUGUACUGCAAUUGUCUGUAUUUUACAAGCUCAAGUAUGAGCUAGUAAAAUUUAAAGCCCAGGGACUAAACCUGAUCCGUUGCAUAUUAUCCAGGAAGGAAAAAGAUUUUGGGUCUCUUCAUACUUCAAAUCCUGCAUUAAUUGUCACUGCAUUAAGUCAGUAAUAACAAUUAGACAUUUUGAGGCAAUAUGUAAUAUAACUUGUUUCCGUUGUAAUUUGAAAUAGACAUGCCUCUAUUUUUGAAUUUGAAUCCUAAAAUGCAUCAGCUUAAUGACUAUUAUGGUUUAUGUUAAUCAUUUGGUAUAAUGUCAGAUUAUUACUUUGUUAGACUUGAUUCUCCAUGUAUGAAUAAAAACAA
Anguilla anguilla (European eel) is the source of this 1472-nucleotide long non-coding RNA. RefSeq lists it as uncharacterized. The transcript has 3 exons. Lineage: Eukaryota; Metazoa; Chordata; Actinopteri; Anguilliformes; Anguillidae. The record is from RefSeq and is a predicted model, not a curated record.